Dermacentor albipictus is the source of this 460-nucleotide non-coding RNA. NCBI's taxonomy places the organism in Eukaryota, Metazoa, Arthropoda, Arachnida, Ixodida, Ixodidae. The record is from RefSeq and is a predicted model, not a curated record.
CUCGCUACUCGUCGGAAGGACACGAAGAAGCCAUCGUCGUUCUGCUGUAACGUUCAUUGCAGAGCAAGACAGCGGCGGAAAGACUAAAGGCGCCAUGUCAAGCACGACGAAGCUGGAUGCUACAGACUGUGCUGUUUUCGGCGUGCUGACUGCUCUUGGUUAUAUCGUGGGCCUUUACUUUUCCUUUGCCCGUCGACGGAAACAGGUGGCGUCGGGCGAGGGUGGCCUGGUGAAUCCGGAGCUGGAGGCGUUCUUAGGAGGUCGCAGCCUUCCCUCCAUAGCACUGGCCGUUUCUGUUCUCGCUUCAGCAGUGAACGGCAUGAACGUGGUGCCUAUCGUGGGACACUACUACGCGUACGGCUUCCACCUUAUCUGGACCGUGGCCUGGAUUCCCAUUAGCGCCACUUUCGUGGCGGUAACUGUGGUGCCGCUGCUCUACAGCCUACGGGUUUCAACCAUA